AGAGUUUGAUCAUGGCUCAGAUUGAACGCUGGCGGCAUGCCUAACACAUGCAAGUCGAACGGUAACAGGCCUUCGGGCGCUGACGAGUGGCGGACGGGUGCGUAACGCGUGGGUGAUCUGCCCUGCACUUUGGGAUAAGCCUGGGAAACUGGGUCUAAUACCGAAUAGGACCGCGCUCUUCAUGGGGUGUGGUGGAAAGCUUUUGCGGUGUGGGAUGGGCCCGCGGCCUAUCAGCUUGUUGGUGGGGUAAUGGCCUACCAAGGCGACGACGGGUAGCCGGCCUGAGAGGGUGACCGGCCACACUGGGACUGAGAUACGGCCCAGACUCCUACGGGAGGCAGCAGUGGGGAAUAUUGCACAAUGGGCGCAAGCCUGAUGCAGCGACGCCGCGUGAGGGAUGACGGCCUUCGGGUUGUAAACCUCUUUCAAUAGGGACGAAGCGCAAGUGACGGUACCUAUAGAAGAAGGACCGGCCAACUACGUGCCAGCAGCCGCGGUAAUACGUAGGGUCCGAGCGUUGUCCGGAAUUACUGGGCGUAAAGAGCUCGUAGGUGGUUUGUCGCGUUGUUCGUGAAAACUCACAGCUUAACUGUGGGCGUGCGGGCGAUACGGGCAGACUAGAGUACUGCAGGGGAGACUGGAAUUCCUGGUGUAGCGGUGGAAUGCGCAGAUAUCAGGAGGAACACCGGUGGCGAAGGCGGGUCUCUGGGCAGUAACUGACGCUGAGGAGCGAAAGCGUGGGGAGCGAACAGGAUUAGAUACCCUGGUAGUCC
RNAcentral lists this ribosomal RNA (773 nucleotides) under uncultured bacterium. RNAcentral's name for it is "bacterial SSU rRNA". It matches the Rfam family "Bacterial small subunit ribosomal RNA", at positions 8 to 796 of the family's 1533-position model. The record is from RNAcentral.